RNAcentral lists this ribosomal RNA (95 nucleotides) under uncultured fungus. RNAcentral's name for it is "partial 5.8S ribosomal RNA". It matches the Rfam family "5.8S ribosomal RNA", at positions 65 to 154 of the family's 154-position model. Rfam says of the family: 5.8S ribosomal RNA (5.8S rRNA) is a component of the large subunit of the eukaryotic ribosome. It is transcribed by RNA polymerase I as part of the 45S precursor that also contains 18S and 28S rRNA. Lineage: Eukaryota; Fungi. The record is from RNAcentral.
AUGAUGAAUUGCAGAAUUCAGUGAAUCAUCGAAUCUUUGAACGCACCUUGGCACCCUUUGGCAUGUCCGAAGGGUAUGCUCGUUUGAGUGUCAUU